CUACGGAUGGUCAUGCGUCGCAUUAGCUAGUUGGCGGGGUAACGGCCCACCAAGGCGACGAUGCGUAGGGGUUCUGAGAGGAAGGUCCCCCACACUGGUACUGAGACACGGACCAGACUCCUACGGGAGGCAGCAGUGAGGAAUAUUGGUCAAUGGCCGCAGGGCUGAACCAGCCAAGUCGCGUGAGGGAUGACGGUCCUAUGGAUUGUAAACCUCUUUUGUCAGGGAGCAAAGGGCGCCACGUGUGGCGCUUUGCGAGUACCUGAAGAAAAAGCAUCGGCUAACUCCGUGCCAGCAGCCGCGGUAAUACGGAGGAUGCGAGCGUUAUCCGGAUUUAUUGGGUUUAAAGGGUGCGCAGGCGGAAUGUCAAGUCAGCGGUAAAAUUUCGGGGCUCAACCCCGUCGUGCCGUUGAAACUGGCGUUCUUGAGUGAGCGAGAAGUAUGCGGAAUGCGUGGUGUAGCGGUGAAAUGCAUAGAUAUCACGCAGAACUCCGAUUGCGAAGGCAGCAUACCGGCGCUCAACUGACGCUCAUGCACGAAAGCGUGGGUAUCGAACAGGAUUAGAUACCCUGGUAGUCCACGCAGUAAACGAUGAAUACUAACUGUCCGGGCAGAAUGAUGCCUGG
Molecule: ribosomal RNA, 626 nt
Filed under: uncultured bacterium
Lineage: Bacteria
Description: bacterial SSU rRNA
Rfam family: Bacterial small subunit ribosomal RNA
Source: RNAcentral